CUACAUUUAAACAAAAAGAUUACUAAAAUAAAAUAAAAUAUAAAACUUUUGUUUAGCUUAAAUAAAUUGAUUGCAACCACUUACCUUAAUUUUAUUUUUAUUAAAUUCAAUGAAUCAUGUUUUUCAGUGUUGGGGUCAGUACUAAAUGCAAAAAAAGUUUUCAGAACUUGCAACUACUUAUUUGUCUUUUAUUAAAAGAGUGUUUAACUUAUUUUGUAUACUUAUCAUUAAUAAUUUAACUUAAUAAUUUGGAUAAAGAAAUGUUACCUUCAGUUGGUACAGACUGGGUCUCUGAAGUUGGAUUAUCCUCUGCCACAGUUAGUGGGUGUUUUGCACGUAGAUGGCGAAGCAUUGAAGAUGUGUUGUUGGAAAAUGAUAAAGUUUGAUCACAUAUACCACAUACUACUUGUGUUGGACUUUUUAGACUGAAAUGUUCCCACACCUGAGAACGGGUUCUCUUUCGUGCAUUUUCCAUAAUUAUUAGCGUGCUAGUCAGACAGCGUCUACUGUACAAGCAGCAAACAGUACUGUGAUUGAGGUCGGACUUUUAUGAGUGAUGGUUGAGUCGGCAAAGUGUUAAAUGACACUCAAACAACACGGUCAUUGUGGUUUUAUUAUUAUUAUUAUUAAUGAACAACAAUACACAUGCACAUACAAUGUUAUAGACAUUGAUACAUUAUAAUUAUUUAAUGCUUUAACUGGAACAAAUCGCGCGCUGUGAAACCUGCAUGACGUGUCAGUGAGGUAACGAAGCUUCGUUUCCAUAGGUCACGUGACAGUCUCAUUUCAAGCUAGGCUCCGGAGCACUGUUUCGAAGCAGUAGUGUUUCGAAAGCUCGGUACGUGUGUCGGGACAGUGUUUCGAGCGACCCAUCCCUAGUAUGAGGAGGAAAAAAACAGAGAAAAACCAACAGCAAAGACGUUAGAUAGAAGUAGAACAUAGAAGCAUAGAAACAAACAAACAAUAUGCAUAACGCGGCCGCGGGUAAAAAGCGGAAAGAAAAGGGUGGGGCUGAGAAGGCGAGAGAAAAAAAAUUGCGGAAUUUAGAUAGUGAAGCAGCUAUUAGUUGCAGAACUAUUUAGUUGCAGAACAAAGCGACCUGUUGAAGAAAAUCCUUAUCCCCCAACAUUGAGUAAAAUUCCAUUGCUGGAUUGUUUUUUUAGGUGAGUAUUCAACCUCCAUUUAUAUGUGAGUAUUCAAGUUAAACUGUAUAUUAAAACCUCUUUACUUUGUGAUUUAUCAUAUAACUCAUACAGUACUAUGUGUUGUGUGUUUCAGAUACCUGUUUUGUAUUGGUUCAGCCAGAGGGACUGCAGUGUGUUGAGACCUCCAUUUACAUAUACCUGUUUUGUAUUGGUUCAGCCAGAGGGACUGCAGUGUGUUGAGACCUCCAUUUAUAUAUACCUGUUUUGUAUUGGUUCAGCCAGAGGGACUGCAGUGUGUUGAGACCUCCAUUUA
Molecule: non-coding RNA, 1458 nt
Organism: Misgurnus anguillicaudatus (oriental weatherfish)
Lineage: Eukaryota; Metazoa; Chordata; Actinopteri; Cypriniformes; Cobitidae
Source: RefSeq, a predicted model, not a curated record